RNAcentral lists this ribosomal RNA (498 nucleotides) under uncultured bacterium. RNAcentral's name for it is "partial 16S ribosomal RNA". It matches the Rfam family "Bacterial small subunit ribosomal RNA", at positions 28 to 523 of the family's 1533-position model. The record is from RNAcentral.
GAUGAACGCUAGCUACAGGCUUAACACAUGCAAGUCGAGGGGUAGCAGGGUAGCAAUACCGCUGACGACCGGCGCACGGGUGAGUAACACGUAUCCAACCUUCCCAUAACUCGGGGAUAGCCUUUCGAAAGAAAGAUUAAUACCCGAUAGUACUUAUAUAGGGCAUCUUAAAUAAGUUAAAGAUUUAUUGGUUAUGGAUGGGGAUGCGUUCCAUUAGAUAGUUGGUGAGGUAACGGCUCACCAAGUCUUCGAUGGAUAGGGGUUCUGAGAGGAAGGUCCCCCACAUUGGUACUGAGACACGGACCAAACUCCUACGGGAGGCAGCAGUGAGGAAUAUUGGUCAAUGGGCGCGAGCCUGAACCAGCCAAGUAGCGUGAAGGAUGAAGGUCCUAUGGAUUGUAAACUUCUUUUAUAGUAGAAUAAAGUGACCUACGUGUAGGUUUUUGUAUGUAUACUAUGAAUAAGGAUCGGCUAACUCCGUGCCAGCCGCCGCCGUAA